This 448-nucleotide ribosomal RNA is filed under the name uncultured bacterium. Its description in RNAcentral is "SSU rRNA". It matches the Rfam family "Bacterial small subunit ribosomal RNA", at positions 26 to 518 of the family's 1533-position model. The record is from RNAcentral.
AGAACGAACGCUGGCGGCAGGCCUAAUACAUGCAAGUCGAGCGGGCGUAGCAAUACGUCAGCGGCGGACGGGUGAGUAACACGUGGGAACAUGCCCUUCGGUACGGAACAACUCAGGGAAACUUGAGCUAAUACCGUAUGAUCCGGCAACGGCAAAGAUUUAUCGCCGAAGGAUUGGCCCGCGUCCGAUUAGCUAGUUGGUGAGGUAACGGCCCACCAAGGCACCGAUCGGUAGCUGGUUUGAGAGAACGACCAGCCACACUGGGACUGAGACACGGCCCAGACUCCUACGGGAGGCAGCAGUAGGGAAUCUUGGACAAUGGGGGAAACCCUGAUCCAGCCAUGCCGCGUGAGUGAUGAAGGCCUUCGGGUUGUAAAACUCUUUCGACGGGGACGAUAAUGACGGUACCCGUAGAAGAAGCUCCGGCUAACUUCGUGCCAGCAGCCGC